RNAcentral lists this transfer RNA (65 nucleotides) under Nysius graminicola. Its description in RNAcentral is "tRNA-His". The record is from RNAcentral. Lineage: Eukaryota; Metazoa; Arthropoda; Insecta; Hemiptera; Lygaeidae.
ACUUAAGUAGUUUAAGCUUAGAACAGCAAUUUGUGGGAUUGUUAGUGCAGAUUAUGCCUUAAGUU